GCGGUGACGCAGGGUCUGAAGGAAGUCGGCGGCAAAUCCCUGGCUCGACGAACAGGAACUUGAUACAAGGCUGGCUGACAGGAGGUGAGUCUGCAGCACAAGACAAAGCCCUAUAGCCAUUCGGACUGUCAGCAAGUAAAUCAAGCGAGCAUAAGGGUGAAAGAGC
RNAcentral lists this non-coding RNA (166 nucleotides) under bovine gut metagenome. The record is from RNAcentral.